AUGGACAGUCGAGGUCUAGCGCGUAUUAACACUACUAUCCUGGUGCUCAUUCCUAAGAAACAGGGGGCGGACACGCUACAAGAGUUCAGGCCAAUCUCACUCCUUCACAGUUUGAUCAAAAUCUUCUCUAAAAUCCUAGUGAGUAGGCUGGCCCCUAAGCUAGGUGAUCUGGUCGAUCAAUGUCAAAGUGCGUUUAUCAAAAAACGCAGCAUCCAAGAAAAUUUCUUGUACAUUCAGAACACUAUUAAGAGGCUA
Molecule: ribosomal RNA, 255 nt
Filed under: Triticum aestivum (bread wheat)
Lineage: Eukaryota; Viridiplantae; Streptophyta; Magnoliopsida; Poales; Poaceae
Description: partial small subunit ribosomal RNA
Source: RNAcentral